AUCGGGCACGUCCGUAAGUGUCGGGAAAGAGGGUUCCUCUCGAGCGGCGCUGUUGUAGGUACUGUACGGGUUAAUGCAUGCGCAUUAUGUAUACGUUAUCACGCGCAUGCGUUGCUGUCAGCUGACACUGUUGAUAGUUACGACGAAAGUGAUAAACAAGGGGUGUUAUAUACUAUAAUUUUGCAGUGCAAAAAACUCAGUGAAAUUUUCCAAAAGCACGGUUAAUUACUGUAAAGGAAUCGAUAUUAUGCACGAUCCAGGCGAUUUAUUGGACGAGGGAAAAAGAAGAAGUUAUUAACCUGAUUAUCAAGAGCGUAUCAGUCGAGAGGACGAUUCCGAGGCUUUGCGGAUUCAAUGACGAACUUUUCGAGCCAGGAGCGAGACCAUUUUUUUGUGGCAAGACCAAAGGCGAGGGGCAAAUUAUUGGGAGAUCGGUCAGGAUAUUGAAGGCCAGGAUAACAGCGAUUUCGAUGCUCGAUGACGACAUGAAUUUCCAACAAAUUCCUUCGUUCGGGGUUGAGGAAAUUCCAACAGGACUCAACCGUGGAAAAUUAAAUUUGACAUCGAGCGAUACUUGAAUCUGAACAGCUCGGAACAGAGCUUCGCUCAGAGAACUCGAAACGUUUGAUUUCUAGUUACUACGUUUUAUUCGCUGGCGUUUGUACGUUCUUCAACUCUCGAGCAGAUGUAACCGAAUUGUUAAUCAAUUACUGAUCAUACUCGACGCAAACGAUUUUCGUUGGAAUGUCGAUUGAUAAUAUUAAGGCAGUGCUGUAGCUGUACCCUUUUUUUAUCUUUUCAGAAACUGCUUUACACUCUCCAGUGCUAAUAUUGAAUAUUGUGCCGAAAAACCUCAAAUUGGGAGCUCCAAACUGCCAAAUUGUCGUAAAUUGAGAGCAUUUAAAUGUUGAAAACAUUGAAGUUUAUCCAAGCAUAAAAUACGAUUUCGCUCGAUGAUAAAAACGCGGGAAUUCUUCAUUGGAAAAUUGUUUCUGCGUAAAGACUUUCAACAAUCUCCCCGAUCACUUCAUACCGUAUUUUACCCAGCUCGGACUAUUCCAACUCGCUAUCGUUCGCCAAAUAAAUCCGUCUGGCAUUUGCACCUCAUAAACUAGGGCUUUCAUAUAGCGAACGAUUGUUUGAUGAAACAAUGUUGACCGUUGGAAGAAAAACACUCUGUGCGAUUAGAGAGCGGGGGAGGCUCGUGGCCAAAUUUAUUACCGACCAAGAUGCGUAAAUAACACAUUCGAUAGGAAUUUCGAUUUUUUUUUCCCUCCGAAAAUAUAUGCUGCGUGGAAAAGAAUAAUGUGAUGAAUUAAAUGAUCAGUUUGCUCGAAUGACUCGCCGCUAUUUCGAACUUAUCGUCUCUCGUGCCCCUCCUUAUUAGUCGACCGAGUGUACAUCUCGAUAAAAUUGAGAUAUAAAAAAGCUGAGCCGACUAUUUACAAUGAUCCAGUUCACUGUACGGGGCGCAAUGAUCGGCCCUACGAAAUUCCGUGCUUUUUUACGGCAUCAUAUGUUGGAACGUGUUUAACGACCUUGUGGCUGUUUAAUUCAUGUUUGUAUGAGUAUUGUGCGCAUUUUUUGUAUUUACACAUGGAAUUUGAGCCUGCACGUGUUUUCCUCAACGACGUUUUGUCAAAAGUAUGAAAAUAGCUAACGAAUGAAAGUUUCUAUGUGAGGAAAAUUGAAUUUUUAAUGCACAACACGAAAAGAGUAUUUUCUUUGUACAGAAUUUGGCCCGUCAAAUAAUCGAUGACGAUUUUUGUCUCAGCAAUCGAGAUGAGAAAACUCAAAAUUCAGAUUUUUUUUUAUCGUUUGGAAAAUCGUGUAGAAAGUUCACGCGAAUCAGAGCGGAUCGUGGUUUCAUAAGUGAAACUGACGUGAAAUGUCUCGCGUGUGUAUACUCAAUGCGUUAGAUUGAGGGGGGCAUUUUAUGAUAUUGGGAUAAUGCCAGUGAGGGUGGAUAAACGACCUCAAAUAAAUGUCUCUUCGUACAUAAGUCUA
This 2007-nucleotide long non-coding RNA is filed under the name Venturia canescens. Its description in RNAcentral is "uncharacterized LOC122406102, transcript variant X2". The record is from RNAcentral. Lineage: Eukaryota; Metazoa; Arthropoda; Insecta; Hymenoptera; Ichneumonidae.